CUGGGGACUUAAAACAGUAUAAAUAUUUGUGUGCAAUGGCUGCAAACAGCACCCUCCUCGGUAGUGUAUACAACCUGUUGCUUGUAUGGGUUGCUCUAAGGGACCUUGUAGACAGUC
This 117-nucleotide small nucleolar RNA is filed under the name Microcebus murinus (gray mouse lemur). RNAcentral describes it as "Small nucleolar RNA SNORA70 (ENSMICG00000024812.3)". It matches the Rfam family "Small nucleolar RNA SNORA70". From Rfam's summary of the family: snoRNA U70 seems to be exclusive to mammals and is a member of the H/ACA class of snoRNA which contain H (ANANNA) and ACA box motifs. H/ACA box snoRNAs are involved in the conversion of uridines to pseudouridines (5-ribosyluracil) a constituent of structural RNAs (transfer, ribosomal, small nuclear, and small nucleolar). The record is from RNAcentral. Lineage: Eukaryota; Metazoa; Chordata; Mammalia; Primates; Cheirogaleidae.